RNAcentral lists this transfer RNA (85 nucleotides) under Neolewinella antarctica. Its description in RNAcentral is "Lewinella antarctica tRNA-Ser". It matches the Rfam family "tRNA". Rfam says of the family: Transfer RNA (tRNA) molecules are approximately 80 nucleotides in length. Their secondary structure includes four short double-helical elements and three loops (D, anti-codon, and T loops). Lineage: Bacteria; Pseudomonadati; Bacteroidota; Saprospiria; Saprospirales; Lewinellaceae. The record is from RNAcentral.
GGAGGAAUGGCAGAGCGGUUUAAUGCACCGGUCUUGAAAACCGACGUACGGAAACGUACCGGGGGUUCGAAUCCCUCUUCCUCCG